UCACUCUCACUUAAGUGGAACCAGCCAAUG
This 30-nucleotide non-coding RNA is filed under the name Homo sapiens (human). The record is from RNAcentral. Lineage: Eukaryota; Metazoa; Chordata; Mammalia; Primates; Hominidae.